UAGUCGCGACAGCGCUGCGUCCCUUGCGCUCGGCGGCCGCGGGGGCUGGGGGUUGCUGCCUCCUCACGAAGAGUCCCGCUGAAAGGCCCGGAGGAGAAGGGUUCCCCCCGUGGCGUGGGAAGCCCGAAGCUCGUGGAAAGCGCCCCGGGGGAAAGGGGUGACCCGAGGCGGGGCGAAGGGCUCCCCGCGGGCGGCGCCGCUGCGCUGCUGCAGGGAAGGGAGACAUCCAGUUUUUUCUGUUCAAAGGUGGCUUCUCAUGUUCCCACAAGAUGCAGAAAUGUCUUUACCAUUGAAGACAGUAUGACUUGGGAUAGGGACCCAGCACAUGAAAGAACUGGAGCGUGGAGUCAAAAUGCCAGGAAGCUGCUGAACAGCUCAAGGGUACACAUAAAAACUAAGUCCAAAUGAAACAUUUGUCUUUGAUCUGACAAACUGAAAUGCAAUGUGUCUUUCCACAAAUGUCAAAAGCUUCCAUGCUGGUUGAAAGCAGUUAAAUACAGGAAUAUCAGCAUCAAGUACUUUUUGUAUACUCUGACCCUCAAAACAUUUCAGUAUUUAGUCACUUUUGUUUCCGAAAGGGAUAAAAAUAAUCAUACUGGGUUUUCUGGCAGAUCUCCAGUUACAAUUUGACCACUUAGUUUAUAAGUAACAAACUAACAAAAGCAAUCCUCAUGGAUUCUCAAAAUACUCCAUUUGAACAUAACUCCAUGAACAUUGUGGACAAUAAAUCUGAGGAAGAUACAUUGUACCCUUCUUAUACAACAAAUCAAUUGAAUUUCUGAUUUAAACCUGAAAAAUAAUCUCAUAUUAAAUGAGUCAUAAAGACCCAAUCAGUGUCUGUAUAAUAUGUUCCAUUCAUAUUAUUAAGUGGCAUGUGACUGCUGGAUUUCUUGACAUUUGCCUCUAAGUUAGGCAAUGACAGACUCCUCUCCUAUAAUUACCACUGAAAAUACUACUACUACAAUUUAAUUGUACCUGGCUUGCUUAAUUUUUAUUUAUUUACUUGCCAUCUUCUGGUAUUCAUUGCACAAUAUUGCUAAAACACUUUAAAUGUCACAUUUCUUGUACAGCUAAUAAAUAUUUUAGAUCAUAAUUACUGAGUUUCAUAAUCAGUGCAUAAUUUGGAUUCCUCUCUAACUGUAACAGUCACACACACACCGUGCGCACGCGGUUUCCAUACAUAGAAGAAACUUUGUUCUUGCUGCUGUAGUUACUGUAGCAGCAUUCAGGCUUAAAGUGGUUUUUAGGUAUUGCUAACGUGCAGCUGAAACAAAAAUAAGCGUGUGCAUUAUGAUCAGCAACAUCAUCCUCUACCAUGAGCGGUUCUAAAAAAAAACUCCAUACUGUCCAGACUUGAAAUAUUUCUGUUUGAUUUUUUAAAUUUUCAUAUACUUACAGAUCUAUUCUGUUGAUUGAGGUAUUUCAUUUGAUUUUUGUGAAUGUAAAAAAAAAAAAGGAGUUUCAGAAUAUAAUGAAU
This is a long non-coding RNA of Calidris pugnax (ruff), 1477 nucleotides long. RefSeq lists it as uncharacterized. The record is from RefSeq and is a predicted model, not a curated record. The transcript is spliced from 3 exons. Lineage: Eukaryota; Metazoa; Chordata; Aves; Charadriiformes; Scolopacidae.